UACGUAGGGUGCGAGCGUUAAUCGGAAUUACUGGGCGUAAAGGGUGCGUAGGCGGACAGGUAAGUCAGUGGUGAAAUCUCUGGGCUUAACCCAGAAACUGCCGUUGAUACUAUUUGUCUUGAAUAUCCUGGAGGUAGGCGGAAUAUGUCAUGUAGCGGUGAAAUGCUUAGAUAUGACAUAGAACACCGAUAGCGAAGGCAGCUUACUACAGGAUGAUUGACGCUGAGGCACGAAAGCGUGGGGAGCAAACAGG
Molecule: ribosomal RNA, 253 nt
Filed under: uncultured bacterium
Lineage: Bacteria
Description: partial 16S ribosomal RNA
Rfam family: Bacterial small subunit ribosomal RNA
Source: RNAcentral